AGUCACUGACAUUAGAUACCCCGGUAGUCCUAGCCGUAAACGAUACUCGCUAGGUGUCGGCCACGGUGCGACCGUUGUCGGUGCCGUAGGGAAGCCGUGAAGCGAGCCACCUGGGAAGUACGGCCGCAAGGCCGAAACUUAAAGGAAUUGGCGGGGGAGCACCAUAACGGGUGGAGCCUGCGGUUUAAUUGGACUCAACGCCGGGAAGCUCACCGGAUAAGACAGCGGAAUGAUUGCCGGGCUGAAGACCCUGCAUGACCAGCUG
This 265-nucleotide ribosomal RNA is filed under the name uncultured archaeon. RNAcentral's name for it is "partial 16S ribosomal RNA". It matches the Rfam family "Archaeal small subunit ribosomal RNA", at positions 718 to 982 of the family's 1478-position model. The record is from RNAcentral.